This 494-nucleotide ribosomal RNA is filed under the name uncultured bacterium. RNAcentral's name for it is "partial 16S ribosomal RNA". It matches the Rfam family "Bacterial small subunit ribosomal RNA", at positions 28 to 507 of the family's 1533-position model. The record is from RNAcentral.
GACGAACGCUGGCGGCGUGCUUAACACAUGCAAGUCGAACGGUGAAGCGCCUUCCUUUUUGGUGGGUGUGGAUGAGUGGCGAACGGGUGAGUAACACGUGAGUAACCUGCCCCCUUCUUCUGGAUAACCGCAUGAAAGUGUGGCUAAUACGGGAUAUUCUGGGUCUGUCGCAUGAUGGGUCUGGGAAAGAUAUUGUUUCGGUGGGGGAUGGGCUCGCGGCCUAUCAGCUUGUUGGUGGGGUGAUGGCCUACCAAGGCGGUGACGGGUAGCCGGCCUGAGAGGGUGGCCGGUCACACAGGGUCUGCGACACGGCCCAGACUCCUACGGGAGGCAGCAGUGGGGAAUAUUGCACAGUGGGCGCAAGCCUGCUGCAGCGACGCCGCGUGAGGGAUGGAGGCCUUCGGGUUGUGAACCUCUUUCGCCAGUGAAGCAGGCCUGCCUCGUUUGUGGGUGGGUUGACGGUAGCUGGAUAAGAAGCGCCGGCUAACUACGUG